AGAAGGUAGGCCGGCGACCGUCAGAAGCUUCGCGCUUCGAAGCGGUUGUUGGUUGCAGAGAAUCGGGGGUAGCGACUGUUUACCAAAAACACAGGACUCUGCGAACGCGGAAGCGGACGUAUAGGGUCUGAUGCCUGCCCGGUGCUGGAAGGUUAAGGGGAGAUGUCAGUCGCAAGACGAAGCAUCGAACCGAAGCCCCAGUAAACGGCGGCCGUAACAAUAACGGUCCUAAGGUAGCGAAAUUCCUUGUCGGGUAAGUUCCGACCUGCACGAAUGGCAUAACGACUUCCCCACUGUCUCGGGAUGGGACUCAGUGAAGUAGCACUAGGGGUGAAGAUACCCUUUACCUGCGGCAAGACGGAAAGACCCCAUGAACCUUCACUGUAACUUGGCACUGAACUUCGGGCUUAAUUGCGUAGGAUAGGUGGGAGGCUUUGAACCGGGGAUUUCGGUUUCCGGGGAGCCACCGUUGAAAUACCACCCUGUUCAGUCUGGAGUUCUAACCUACGCCCGUUAACCGGGCGGGGAACAAUGCCUGGUGGGCAGUUUGACUGGGGCGGUCGCCUCCAAAAAAGUAACGGAGGCGCGCGAAGGUUCCCUCAGGCUGAUUGGAAACCAGCUGUUGAGUGUAAUGGCACAAGGGAGCUUAACUGCGAGACAAACAAGUCGAGUAGGUACGAAAGUAGGUCAUAGUGAUCCGGUGGUACCUCAUGGAAGGGCCAUCGCUCAUCGGAUAAAAGGUACUCUGGGGAUAACAGGCUGAUCACGCCCAAGAGUUCACAUCGACGGCGUGGUUUGGCACCUCGAUGUCGGCUCAUCGCAUCCUGGGGCUGAAGUAGGUCCCAAGGGUUUGGCUGUUCGCCAAUUAAAGCGGUACGCGAGCUGGGUUCAGAACGUCGUGAGACAGUUCGGUCCCUAUCUGCCGUGGGCGCAGGAGUUUUGCGAGGACCUGCCCGUAGUACGAGAGGACCCGGGUGGACGGACCGCUGGUGUUCCGGUUGUCAUGCCAAUGGCAUCGCCGGGUAGCUAUGUCCGGAACAGAUAACCGCUGAAAGCAUCUAAGCGGGAAGCUGACCUCCAGAUUAGAACUCCCAGAGCGCAAGCUCUCUGAAGGACCCUUGUAGACUACGAGGUUGAUAGGCCGGGUGUGGAAGCGCUGUGAGGCGCGUAGCUAACCGGUACUAAUCGUCCGUGAGGCUUGACCGC
This 1206-nucleotide ribosomal RNA is filed under the name metagenome. RNAcentral describes it as "bacterial LSU rRNA". It matches the Rfam family "Bacterial large subunit ribosomal RNA", at positions 1741 to 2925 of the family's 2925-position model. The record is from RNAcentral.